CCUACGGGCGGCAGCAGUGAGGAAUAUUGGUCAAUGGGCGUAAGCCUGAACCAGCCAAGUCGCGUGAGGGAUGAAGGCUCUAUGGGUCGUAAACCUCUUUUAUAUGGGAAUAAAGUGUGGUAUGUAUACUGCUUUGCAUGUACCUUAUGAAUAAGGAUCGGCUAACUCCGUGCCAGCAGCCGCGGUAAUACGGGGGGUCCGAGCGUUAUCCGGAUUCAUUGGGCUUAAAGGGUUCGUAGGCGGUAUGUUAAGUCUGAUGUGAAAGCCCGGGGCUCAACCGUGGUGUUGCAUUGGAUACUGGCAUCCUAGAGUACGGUAGAGGUAGGGGGAAUUCGUGGUGUAGCGGUGAAAUGCUUAGAUAUCACGAGGAACAUCGAUGGCGAAGGCGGUUUACUGGACCAUUAUUGACGCUGAGGAUCGAAAGCCAGGGGAGCAAAUGGGAUUAGAUACCCCAGUAGUC
This 460-nucleotide ribosomal RNA is filed under the name uncultured bacterium. RNAcentral describes it as "partial 16S ribosomal RNA". It matches the Rfam family "Bacterial small subunit ribosomal RNA", at positions 338 to 795 of the family's 1533-position model. The record is from RNAcentral.